Non-coding RNA from Triticum aestivum (bread wheat), 136 nucleotides. The record is from Rfam. Lineage: Eukaryota; Viridiplantae; Streptophyta; Magnoliopsida; Poales; Poaceae.
CAUCUACACCCUCCGUUCCACAAUACUUGCAUUCCCUUUAUCAAAAUAUAGAUGUAUUUAGACAUGUUUUAGUAUAUAGGUACAUCCAUUUUUGGAUAAAUGGAAGUCAAGUAUUUUGGAACGGAGAGAGUAGCUG